ACACAUCUCAGAGCCAAUAUCAGUUAAAUUAAAUAAAUUAAAUUACUAUCAAAUCCACCUUCAUUAACAGUAUUUCACUAUCAAAUCCGUUAUAAACAAAAAUCUAUUGUAACCCACCUCCUCUUAACUAUAAGCUGCACCUUGACCUGAAAUAUUUUAUAAUUAUAAAUCUUGAGAAUUAUAACUCUAAAAAGAUUCUCUGAUAACGGAGAUAUACAAACAAAUAAAUUAAGUAGAGUAAAUCGUGUAUUAUCAAUCAUGGGGUAGGUUCCUCUGAAUGGAAUGAGAUACCGCCAAAUUCUUUGGGUUUAAAGACCUUAACUAAUAGUACCCUGGUAAAUAUAAUUAACAUUUAAA
Molecule: ribosomal RNA, 357 nt
Filed under: Schistocerca gregaria
Lineage: Eukaryota; Metazoa; Arthropoda; Insecta; Orthoptera; Acrididae
Description: partial 12S ribosomal RNA
Source: RNAcentral